AUUGAACGCUGGCGGCAUGCUUUACACAUGCAAGUCGAACGGCAACGCGGUCUUCUGCCUGGCUGCUAGUGUCGCACAGGUGAGUAAUACAUCUGAACAUCCCGAGUAUGAGUGUGGGGCUCGUCGAGAGCCGGAGUAAUACCGCCUACUACCUGAUGGUGAAAGCUGGGGAGCGUCGGACCUCUCGCUAUUGUGGCGGCCGAUGGCCGAUUAGCUAGUUUGUUGGGUAAAGGCCUACCAAGCCGACGAUCUGUAGCUGGUCUGAGAGGACGACAAGCCACACUGGGACUGAGACACGGACAAGAGGACUAAGGGACGCCGCAGUGGGGAAUGUUGGACAAUGGGCGAAAGCAUGAUACAGCAAUGCCGAGUGUGUGAUGAAGGCCUUCGGGUUGUAAAGCACUUCUGGCGGGAAUGAAAAGCACUGUGCCAAUACCACGGUUGGAUGACGGUAACCGCAGAAUAAGCACCGGCUAACUACGUG
RNAcentral lists this ribosomal RNA (484 nucleotides) under uncultured bacterium. RNAcentral describes it as "partial 16S ribosomal RNA". It matches the Rfam family "Bacterial small subunit ribosomal RNA", at positions 30 to 507 of the family's 1533-position model. The record is from RNAcentral.